GUACGGAGGAUGCAAGCGUUAUCCGGAUUUACUGGGCGUAAAGGGCGUGUAGGCGGUCUUGCAAGUCAGAAGUGAAAUUCCUGAGCUCAACUCGGGCGCUGCUUCUGAAACUGCAGGACUUGAGUGCUGGAGGGGAUAGCGGAAUUCCUAGUGGAGCGGUGAAAUGCGUAGAUAUUAGGAGGAACACCAGUGGCGAAGGCGACUUUCUGGACAGUAACUGACGCUGAGGUACGAAAGCGUGGGGAGCAAACAGGAUUAGAUACCCUGGUAGUCCACGCGGUAAACGAUGAUCACUAGGUGUUGGCACGCAUAGCGUGUCGGUGCCGCAGCAAACGCAAUAAGUGAUCCACCUGGGGAGUACGUUCGCAAGAAUGAAACUCAAAUGAAUUGGCGGGG
Molecule: ribosomal RNA, 396 nt
Filed under: uncultured bacterium
Lineage: Bacteria
Description: partial 16S ribosomal RNA
Rfam family: Bacterial small subunit ribosomal RNA
Source: RNAcentral